UUCCACAAUGAAUUCCACAAA
Molecule: non-coding RNA, 21 nt
Filed under: Caenorhabditis elegans
Lineage: Eukaryota; Metazoa; Nematoda; Chromadorea; Rhabditida; Rhabditidae
Source: RNAcentral